Molecule: ribosomal RNA, 508 nt
Filed under: Protohermes xanthodes
Lineage: Eukaryota; Metazoa; Arthropoda; Insecta; Megaloptera; Corydalidae
Description: partial 16S ribosomal RNA
Rfam family: Bacterial large subunit ribosomal RNA
Source: RNAcentral
GUCUUUUAGAAUAUAAUUUAAAGUCUAACCUGCCCACUGAAUUUUUUUGAAGGGCCGCGGUAUUUUGACUGUGCAAAGGUAGCAUAAUCAUUAGUCUUUUAAUUGGAGGCUUGUAUGAAUGGUUGGAUGAAACAUUAACUGUCUCAAUAUAAUAAAAAUAGAAUUUAAUUUUUAAGUUAAAAAGCUUAAAUAAUAUUAGAGGACGAGAAGACCCUAUAGAUCUUUAUAAUUAAUUUUUUAUUAUUUAUAUAGAAUAUUAAUUAGUAUUAAUUAAUUAAUUAUUUUAUUGGGGUGAUAAAUAAAUUUAGUAAACUUUAUUUAAAUUAAACAUUUAUUUAUGAAUAAUUGAUCCAUUAUUAGUGAUUAAAAGAUUAAGUUACCUUAGGGAUAACAGCGUAAUUUUUUUAGAGAGUUCUUAUCGAUAAAAAAGUUUGCGACCUCGAUGUUGAAUUAAAGGUUAAUUUUAGGUGCAGAAGUUUAAAGUUUUGGUCUGUUCGACCAUUAAAUC